CGGUUAAGUUAGAAAGGGCGCACGGUGGAUGCCUUGGCACUAGGAGCCGAUGAAGGACGGGACGAACACCGAUAUGCUUCGGGGAGCUGUAAGCAAGCUUUGAUCCGGAGAUUUCCGAAUGGGGAAACCCACCACUCGUAAUGGAGUGGUAUCCAUAUCUGAAUACAUAGGAUAUGAGAAGGCAGACCCGGGGAACUGAAACAUCUAAGUACCCGGAGGAAGAGAA
Molecule: ribosomal RNA, 226 nt
Filed under: Bacillus velezensis
Lineage: Bacteria; Bacillati; Bacillota; Bacilli; Caryophanales; Bacillaceae
Description: partial 23S ribosomal RNA
Rfam family: Bacterial large subunit ribosomal RNA
Source: RNAcentral